GUGCGUAAACUCUCCCCUCUCUCGUUGCUGUCAUCAUCAAUCUCUCCCAAAUUUCAGUGCGUGACUGUGUGUGAGCUCUUCCGUGGUGGUUUCGAUCAUUUUCAGGUCGGAAUUGACUAAGACUAUGGAUUCUUCUCUCUGGGAUCCACCAAUUUGUGAAGAUGACAGUGCUGAUUUUAAAGGGAAUUGGCAGUCUGAUUUCUCCUCUGGUGUGGGCCGUGAUGUCAUGGAAGAAGAUGCUAUAAAUGAAAGGUGUUGUAUCGAAGUGCUGAAAAGA
This is a non-coding RNA of Coffea arabica (coffee), 277 nucleotides long. NCBI's taxonomy places the organism in Eukaryota, Viridiplantae, Streptophyta, Magnoliopsida, Gentianales, Rubiaceae. The record is from RefSeq and is a predicted model, not a curated record.